CGCCUCGCGCUCCCGAGGCCCAAAAUCUAGAUAUUUUGGAAGUCCCCCUCCACAACAAGUCAAACCCACCAUCUUCCUCACGCACACACAUACUACCUAACAAAAAUCCCCACCUAGCCGCCGCCACCGCUCAGCCGAUUCGAUCGCCGCUGCCAAUCCCACCCCCGGUGUUGAAUCCAGAAGCUCUCGUCGAUUCUGUUGUGCCUCCCCAACAACCGCAGCCUGAGGUGCCACGAGGCUACCCACUCACCUGGUGGGUGCCGCCGCCCGCUGGUUCGCUCGCGUCGCUUACUCUCCCAACUCCGGCCAUCCCUCCCGCAUCCAGCAUCCCAUGGUAUUGAUCUCCACCAUCGGCGACCCGCGCCUUGCCCUGCCUCUAGAUCCAGCCGCUGCAGGUCCCAUGAUGAUGAACUGUAACAGAUCUGGUUGAUUCGUCAAAGUUCGGAGAAUUUCAGAGGGUCGACUAAUUCGUGGCUUAUUUUGUAAUUAGAAAUAAAUUACGUAUUUAGUUAAUUUCUGGGAAGAUUCUGUAUAUAUUUGACCCACACCAAGAACUUGAACAUUGCGAUCCAUAAUCUACUGCACCUCGUAGAGCUCAUUACUAAACAUGGAAAGGUUCCUUUGGGUAUUGGUAUCCAAAUACAUUUUCCUGGUUUUCUGUAUGAACGUGUCUAGUUGAUGAAAGCAUAUGGCCUUGCAACACUUUCAGUUCAACUAUCAUUGACCCUCUCUCUAUCGCGCUGCACACACCCCAAUCUAGACCUAGGUCACAGGCUCACAGCUAAUGGCAGUUAUAUUCUUGAUUACUGCUUAUCUGAAUUCUCUAGGAAAAAAGAAUACAAUAAGCGAUUGUUUGGUUUUAACAUGGCUGGGUGUGGUUCUGUGGUAUGCAACUCAGUAGCUUUGAGGUCUGCCUUAAUGUUUUAGCAUGGCUAUCCUAAAUUAAUAGGAAUAAUAUUCAGAUUUCAAGUAUACAGUAUACACUCUGUGAGAAAACAACAUACUAAGUUUCCGCCAACCAAUAAGUGUAGAUGCAGCUGACAUUUAGGGUUGUAAACUGCCUGUGGCAGGUCCUACAAGCCUACCACAAGUUUAUUUUUGGUAUUCAACUCAUCAAUGACUUUUUUUCUUCUUUCUGAAAUUCUUUAUUUUUAAUUACUGUUGAAAUAAAUUUGUCAGCUGAGGAACUUGCCUAUGGCCCGCAGAGAGAAGACAUAUUUGUCAAAGAACAUACUUGUAAAAGUGUAGUUCCCCCUACAGCAAGCAGAGGCCCUAAUUGUAGGUUACAUGUACCAUGCAUCAUGUGUUUUCUAAAUAAUGAUGUGCAUGUGACUGAAUAUCAGUUGAUGACAAGUAUCGGUUGAACUGACUUCAUUGUAGAAAUAACUAGAGGUGCCUCACUUGGUCUGUUUUUGCAGAAACAAUUUGAUGAUUCGGCAAGUGGCAUUUCCUCAAGCAAGCCAAAAUGUGGGAACGCCCUUGCUUCAUAAUUCUGUUUCUCCACCUGUGGUACAAUGCUUAGUUAUCAGUUUUGUUAAAUCAUAUCCAGAACAUAUGUACACUAAUUCAAUUUUGUGUGGCCCUCCAAUUCUCGGAGAUUGUAGCACAAGAUGGCAAUGAGGAACUUCUAAUGUAUAUGACUUUUUGUUGAACCGGAAGGUAUUAUGCUUGUGAACUUUUCCUGUCAUAUGACACUUCUAAUUUCGAUAGUUAAUCUAAUGGUGUGUAAAACGUGCAUGGAAACAAAAUGUUCUCUUCACAGCUUCACUUCUAAGUGUGGUAUCAGAUAUUGAAUGGUAUUGUGUGAAUAAAGGGCAUUGUGUGCUUCCCUGCUAUGUGUGGUGUCAUGCUUUGUUCAGAAAAAAAUAUGUUUAGAAUGGGGAAAAGGGUCUUCAGUUUGAACCAGACACUUGUUUUUCUUUCAGGUAUCCUUUUAAUUUUCUUGUCAGGUUUCAUGCUUCAUAACUUAGCACACACACUACAGUUUGUAAUGUCAUUAUAAACAUUGGAUGCAUUGGACUGUCAUAAUACCUAGUUUCUAUCAAAACUGAUAAUAAUUAAGGCACAACAUGGUGAUAGAAAAUCUGGGUUAAGUAAGAACAUUCAAUCAUUGGUUUCUAUGUUUAUAUGUGUAGCAAAACCCUAAUUAUCAUGCAAAUAGUAUCAAGUCCCGAGCCUUAUCAUGGCAGCUAGCAGAAAAUGUAUGGUUUAGUUUGCAAGCACAUUCAUGUGAAUAUUAUUCCAGCAGGAAUGCCCAUCUUGUGCUCGGCUGCUUGCUUGAUUGAACGCUUGUGCUGCUACCUGCUUGACUGAACGCUUGUGUUGUUGCUUGCUACACAUGAAUGAUUACUGCUUGGCUGCUUAAUGUUGGGUAGCAUGGCAUCUGGAAGGAUCAAUCACAUGGGUCUGGAGGACCAGUCAAGCACUUGAAAAAUAAGACGGCAAAUGGGGCUGUAUUAUCUCUUUCUCAUUAUUUUUUUUGUCUUAACUCUAUAUCACAUAGCAUAUUUUCUAUUUUACUUUAUAUAUAUUCGCCUUAUCACUGAAUGGCUAUUUUUAGAAAAUUCUGUAUCCCAUGUCCGCAUGUGCACAUUGCCAUGUCUCCGUCCCUGUAUCCAUGCUUCUUUGCUUAUAUCUUGUGCAGUGAUGCUCUCUGUGC
Molecule: ribosomal RNA, 2659 nt
Filed under: Triticum aestivum (bread wheat)
Lineage: Eukaryota; Viridiplantae; Streptophyta; Magnoliopsida; Poales; Poaceae
Description: partial small subunit ribosomal RNA
Source: RNAcentral